This 524-nucleotide ribosomal RNA is filed under the name Staphylococcus aureus. RNAcentral describes it as "bacterial SSU rRNA". It matches the Rfam family "Bacterial small subunit ribosomal RNA", at positions 1 to 507 of the family's 1533-position model. The record is from RNAcentral. Lineage: Bacteria; Bacillati; Bacillota; Bacilli; Caryophanales; Staphylococcaceae.
UUUAUGGAGAGUUUGAUCCUGGCUCAGGAUGAACGCUGGCGGCGUGCCUAAUACAUGCAAGUCGAGCGAACGGACGAGAAGCUUGCUUCUCUGAUGUUAGCGGCGGACGGGUGAGUAACACGUGGAUAACCUACCUAUAAGACUGGGAUAACUUCGGGAAACCGGAGCUAAUACCGGAUAAUAUUUUGAACCGCAUGGUUCAAAAGUGAAAGACGGUCUUGCUGUCACUUAUAGAUGGAUCCGCGCUGCAUUAGCUAGUUGGUAAGGUAACGGCUUACCAAGGCAACGAUGCAUAGCCGACCUGAGAGGGUGAUCGGCCACACUGGAACUGAGACACGGUCCAGACUCCUACGGGAGGCAGCAGUAGGGAAUCUUCCGCAAUGGGCGAAAGCCUGACGGAGCAACGCCGCGUGAGUGAUGAAGGUCUUCGGAUCGUAAAACUCUGUUAUUAGGGAAGAACAUAUGUGUAAGUAACUGUGCACAUCUUGACGGUACCUAAUCAGAAAGCCACGGCUAACUACGUG